This 254-nucleotide ribosomal RNA is filed under the name uncultured bacterium. RNAcentral describes it as "partial 16S ribosomal RNA". It matches the Rfam family "Archaeal small subunit ribosomal RNA", at positions 474 to 727 of the family's 1478-position model. The record is from RNAcentral.
CACCGGCGGCCCGAGUGGUGAUCGUGAUUAUUGGGUCUAAAGGGUCCGUAGCCGGUUUGGUCAGUCCUCCGGGAAAUCUGACGGCUCAACCGUUAGGCUUUCGGGGGAUACUGCCAGGCUUGGAACCGGGAGAGGUAAGAGGUACUACAGGGGUAGGAGUGAAAUCUUGUAAUCCCUGUGGGACCACCUGUGGCGAAGGCGUCUUACCAGAACGGGUUCGACGGUGAGGGACGAAAGCUGGGGGCACGAACCGG